UUGAAUUGUGGCAGACUCGGCACUUGCGCGGAUGCAGAAUCAGGAGGAGUCUGCUCGUUGAAUUCGAGUGGCUGGCCACCGCCUUCCAUUCGCCCCCCCGCCCGUUGCUGCAGGAGUCCUCUCCCCCACUGACUGGAUACAUGAAGAAUUACCCGUAAACGACAUCUUCCCUGCAAUAAUGGGCCGCCAGCUAAUUACUGCGUUGACGUGUUGAUAUAAAGAUAUUUCAGAUAUCAAAUAUGAAUCAUGCAUUUGAUAUUUCUGGCAAAUUUGCUCGUGAGCAUUCUUGCGUCCUGGCUCCAUCCAUCCAUAGCGGCAAUUGUUUCUCAAGGAGGAGAGAAUGAGGUGGUUGAGAGGGACGCAGUGUCAUUAUUGUUGGAGCGAGAGGCAACUGCAGCAGCGGCCACAGACAACACAAGUCACCAUGCGGCUGAGCAUGUGAUCACCUACCCCUCUCGGCUCAUCUACUACCUGAACGAGGACUCAGAGAGCACUUACCAUGACCUGGACACCCGGGCUAGGAACCAGGCCACAGAGGGUCAUGAUCAGGCAGUCCACCUUGCUCAAGCCAGUUUCCAGUUAGAGGCCUUUGGCUCCAGAUUUGUACUGGACCUAACGUUAAACAAUGACUUGUUGUCGUCGGAUUAUGUGGAGAUCCACUAUGAAGAGGGUAAACCUGUUCUAUCAAAGGGUGGUGAGCACUGUUACUACCACGGCCAGGUGAGGGGGGAAGAUGACUCUAAUGUGGCCUUGUCUACCUGCAAUGGGCUGCACGGAAUGUUUGAUGAUGGACUCUAUGUGUAUCUAAUUGAGCCUUUGCAACAGACUCACUCAAUUGAUACAGCUGCACGACCCCACUCACUGAGCAGGAGGCCCACCCUCCAGAGGAACAAUGACCAAGAGGAACUGGUGGAGGAGGAGCAGCUGCUUUCGGAGCUGGAUGACAUGUCCUGGCUGAAGCGCAGGAAAAAGCGGGCUAUGCCUCGGAAUGUCUUUGAGGAAAUGAAGUAUUUGGAGAUUAUGAUUGUCAGUGACCACAAUAUGUAUAAGCGACACAAGGCCAAGCAGCACACCAGGAACUUUGCCAAGUCAGUGGUGAACUUUGUGGAUGCUGUCUUUAAGGAGCACCUGCACACACGGGUUGUUCUGGUUGCCGUGGAGAUAUGGACGGACAAGGACCACAUUCCCAUCAGUGUGAAGCCACUGGACAUGCUGAAAGAUUUCUCUAAGUACCGGGCGCAGAGCAUCAAGCAGCACGCUGACUCUGUGCACCUCUUCACCAAUGUGACCUUCCACUACCGCCGGAGCAGUGCAGCGUACUUCGGGGGCAUGUGCUCUGUGAGCCGUGGAGUAGGGGUCAACGAGUAUGGCACCACGUGGACCAUGGCUUCAUCACUCUCCCAGAGCUUGGCACAGAACCUAGGCAUCCAGUGGGAUCCAGCCGCCAAGAGAAAGGAAUGUGGCUGUGCUGACUCCUGGGUGGGCUGCAUCAUGGAGGAUACUGGGGUCCAGCAUCCCCGGAUGUUCUCCAAAUGCAGCAUCUCAGACUACAAGGAAUUCCUGCUGAAAGGCGGUGGAUCCUGUCUUUUUAACAGGCCAAACAAGCUGUUUGAAUCCACAGAGUGUGGGAAUGGAUACAUUGAGGUGGGAGAGGAGUGUGACUGUGGAGCUAGAUCCGAGUGCUACAAGGAGUGCUGCAAGAAGUGUUCCCUAGCUAAUGGUGCACAUUGUGCUGAUGGACCUUGCUGCAACAACACUUGUCUGUUCUACCCGCGAGGUUAUAGUUGUCGCUAUGCGGUGAAUGACUGUGACAUCUCAGAGACAUGCUCAGGAGACUCUGGCCAGUGCCCUCCUAACCUUCACAAACAAGAUGGCUACCACUGUCAAGUCGACCAGGGACGCUGCUACGGUGGAGAGUGCAAGACCAGGGGGAACCAGUGCAAAUACCUCUGGGGUUCAAAGGCGGGAGGCUCCGAGAAGUUCUGCUAUGAGAAGCUCAAUACAGAGGGAACAGAGAAGGGAAACUGUGGGAAGGAUGGAGAGAAAUGGCUCCAGUGCAGCAAGCACGAUGUGUUCUGUGGGUCCCUGCUGUGCAGCAACAUAGGACGCAACCCCCGCAUCGGGAUAAUGAAGGGAGACAUCACCCCCACCUCCUUCAACCAUCAGGGCAGGCUGGUGGACUGCAGUGGUGGCCACGUUCUUUUGGACGAUGAGACUGAUUUAGGCUACGUGGAGGACGGGACGCCCUGUGGGCCGUCCAUGAUGUGUCUUGACCGCAAGUGUCUGCCCAUCCAGUCCCUCAACAUGAGCACCUGCCCCAGCGGGCCCAACAGCCAGGUGUGCUCAGCCCACGGGGUGUGUAACAAUGAGGCGACGUGCACCUGUGACACUACAUGGGCGGGGACAGACUGCAGCAUGCCUGACCCCCCCAAGGAGCCUGCACCCGCAGAAGAUGAAGGACCAAAGGGUCCUAGUGCCACCAAUCUUAUAAUAGGCUCCAUCGCCGGAGCCAUCCUGGUAGCUGCCAUAGUGCUGGGGGGGACUGGAUGGGGCUUUAAGGUUCAAGGGUGAGAGUUUAAGCGGAAGUGGUGAGAGAGAAGCCAGGGCCAUAUUGUUGGCCGCAGCCUUUGUGCCAUGGCUGGCCACACCCACCUGGAUGGCCAGGCUCCGCCCUAGAGCAGAGCAGGACUCCUGGACCCGCCCACACCAGCUGCCAUUGCUGCCUGCUUCACAGACCUGAAAUGUGAAGAAGCGACGGUACGACCCCAACGCCAGUGCCAUAUAAGGCCGGAGGAGAGGUCGAAGGGCACAGAGGGAUCCUCUGGACUGCACUUACAGCUGCUGAUUUUUGGCAUUAGAUUUACUUGAAAAAGAAAUAGAGGACAAUUUAACAAAUUCCAUCUUAGUCAUGUAGAAAUGCAGCCUUUUUCAACCCCACCCACCUAACAACCCCAUCCUGAUCUCUAGAGCCACAGAACUCCUCUCCUUUUCCUUUCAUCGUUAGUGCCAGUGCACAGGCGUUCAGGCGGAACUCACACCAUUGUAUUCUCUCACCAGGCAUGAUUUCCCGCACAGAGCGUGCAGCUCGCUGGCUCUGGCAUGAGGGGCCCUCGCUAAAGGACUUUGCAUGGCUACCAAAGCUAUGAACGACACACAGCAAAUCAAAAAAAAGAAGAAGAGAGAAAUCACUACUGAAUCGUCAAAUGGAGGAGAUAGCCUCAUUAAAAAACAAACCCGGUGGUACGCUGAAAAGGCUCCUCCUCCUUAGGUCACCAAAAUGAGAGGGAUAGGGCUGCAUGCUAGAACCCAAAUGGGAAAUGCAGACCACAUUCAAUAAAUUUAAGUAUAUAUCGGGCAACAUUGUACAUAAAAGAGGAGAACGAGUUCAGAUUCUGAAUUAUAACAUAUCAUUUUACACUGACACACUCUGCUUCUGUUUUAUCUUUAAGCAUGUUGUAUAGCGGGUGUUUUUGGCAAUGUUAAUGAAAAACAGUAACACAAUUAUGAUUUGGACCAAAAUGCUAUGGAUAACCAGACAAUGUCAUAAUCUGUCUAUUAGGUGUUACCACACGCUACAUUCUGUAUUUAUCCAAUAUAGAGGUCACGGGUCAGGUUCAGUAUACACAGUACAGAUGAGAGGUCAGAUUUAGGGGUCUACAUGUGUCUUCUCUAGAGGUCAGGGCACAGCGAUGAUGACAGAAAGAUAGAUCGCAGAUUAUCCAGUCUAUGACUGACGUCAUGGGGUUCCUUAAGUACUUCCAGUAGUGACUCAAAAGCCAAAGAAUCAAUCACGUGGAAUGUCUGGAUGUUGUCGCACACAGAGCACUUUCCCCUUUGUCUGCAAUCUGUGUGCCUCUCUCUCCCAGUGCUGCAGACAGGCAUGCAGUGUGUCCCUGCAGAUUAGUCCCACCUGUGUUAUCAGGUGGUGUCACUAUUUAACAGUCCUCAUCAACACCCACUAUACUGGCUAGCUUGGCGCUCUCCAUAAACUCUUACUAGAAAUCAAGUUCAGCUCUACUGGUACGCUGCAUGCAUUCACACUAUAGUGGGCUUAUAAUUCUAUAAGGGAGUCCCAAAAUCCGCAAGCUAAAAUACGCUACAAAAGAUAGGUGCAUGUCAACAAACAAAACAUUUAACUUUUAUUUCUAUGCAAAGAAAGAUAUUGCACAAACUUAUGGGUUAUUAAAUGUAAUAAUGAUAUCAGUAUAAACAUGGAACAAAAACCUUUGCGAAUCAGACAACCUUUUGUAUUCGGCCACUCCCACAUCUUGUUUCAUUUAGCUUCAAAGUACUGAAAUAAAGAAUGGAAAAGCAUAAUUGAAUUCAUAUGUCCAAGUGAAAAGUGAAAGAACAUCCUUUUACGUUUGUGGAAUCGAAGGAAAAUAUUAUUUUUGUGUGUUUUUCCACCAAUCUAAGAUGACAUUUCUAAUCUGACAUACUGUAUGUGCCGAGGCCUCAACAGGUUACUUUUCCAGGACUUUAGUUUCCAGCCCAGCUGACAGACAGACAGUUGGUGUGUUCCAGGUGCUGCCAUAGCACUGGCAUUGUGUAAACCUCCAUAUUAGUCAUCAUCUCGUGUCCCUAUCAACACUGCAUCAUGUACAGUUGGACCGACGAAUAAACUACUGAAGUAUUUUA
RNA transcript from Salvelinus fontinalis (brook trout), 4638 nucleotides. It is a transcript of the gene named disintegrin and metalloproteinase domain-containing protein 23-like, with no coding region annotated. NCBI's taxonomy places the organism in Eukaryota, Metazoa, Chordata, Actinopteri, Salmoniformes, Salmonidae. The record is from RefSeq and is a predicted model, not a curated record. The transcript has 27 exons.